Molecule: ribosomal RNA, 464 nt
Filed under: Vreelandella stevensii
Lineage: Bacteria; Pseudomonadati; Pseudomonadota; Gammaproteobacteria; Oceanospirillales; Halomonadaceae
Description: partial 16S ribosomal RNA
Rfam family: Bacterial small subunit ribosomal RNA
Source: RNAcentral
CCUACGGGUGGCAGCAGUGGGGAAUAUUGGACAAUGGGCGAAAGCCUGAUCCAGCCAUGCCGCGUGUGUGAAGAAGGCCUUCGGGUUGUAAAGCACUUUCAGUGGGGAAGAAAGCCUUGGGGCUAAUACCCUCGAGGAAGGACAUCACCCACAGAAGAAGCACCGGCUAACUCCGUGCCAGCAGCCGCGGUAAUACGGAGGGUGCGAGCGUUAAUCGGAAUUACUGGGCGUAAAGCGCGCGUAGGCGGUCUGAUAAGCCGGUUGUGAAAGCCCCGGGCUCAACCUGGGAACGGCAUCCGGAACUGUCAGGCUAGAGUGCAGGAGAGGAAGGUAGAAUUCCCGGUGUAGCGGUGAAAUGCGUAGAGAUCGGGAGGAAUACCAGUGGCGAAGGCGGCCUUCUGGACUGACACUGACGCUGAGGUGCGAAAGCGUGGGUAGCAAACAGGAUUAGAUACCCCAUAGUC